GUCGGGAUAGCUCAGCUGGUAGAGCAGAGA
This 30-nucleotide transfer RNA is filed under the name Fragaria vesca (wild strawberry). RNAcentral describes it as "partial transfer RNA-Phe (GAA)". The record is from RNAcentral. RNAcentral also lists the same sequence under 2 other names. Lineage: Eukaryota; Viridiplantae; Streptophyta; Magnoliopsida; Rosales; Rosaceae.